CCUACGGGAGGCAGCAGUGAGGAAUAUUGGUCAAUGGGCGAGAGCCUGAACCAGCCAAGUCGCGUGAGGGAAGACGGUCCUAUGGAUUGUAAACCUCUUUUGUCGGGGAGCAAAAAGGCCUCGUGAGGCCACAAGUGAGAGUACCCGAAGAAAAAGCAUCGGCUAACUCCGUGCCAGCAGCCGCGGUAAUACGGAGGAUGCGAGCGUUAUCCGGAUUGAUUGGGUUUAAAGGGUGCGUAGGCGGACUGGAAAGUCAGCGGUAAAAGCGAGAGGCUCAACCUCUUUCCGCCGUUGAAACUGUCGGUCUUGAGUGGGCGAGAAGUAUGCGGAAUGCGUGGUGUAGCGGUGAAAUGCAUAGAUAUCACGCAGAACUCCGAUUGCGAAGGCAGCAUACCGGCGCCCGACUGACGCUGAGGCACGAAAGCGUGGGUAUCGAACAGGAUUAGAUACCCUGGUAGUC
Molecule: ribosomal RNA, 460 nt
Filed under: uncultured bacterium
Lineage: Bacteria
Description: partial 16S ribosomal RNA
Rfam family: Bacterial small subunit ribosomal RNA
Source: RNAcentral